RNAcentral lists this ribosomal RNA (497 nucleotides) under uncultured bacterium. RNAcentral's name for it is "partial 16S ribosomal RNA". It matches the Rfam family "Bacterial small subunit ribosomal RNA", at positions 28 to 507 of the family's 1533-position model. The record is from RNAcentral.
GAUGAACGCUGGCGGCGUGCCUAAUACAUGCAAGUCGAGCGAACGGACGAGAAGCUUGCUUCUCUGAUGUUAGCGGCGGACGGGUGAGUAACACGUGGAUAACCUACCUAUAAGACUGGGAUAACUUCGGGAAACCGGAGCUAAUACCGGAUGAUAUUUUGAACCGCAUGGUUCAAAAGUGAAAGACGGUCUUGCUGUCACUUAUAGAUGGAUCCGCGCUGCAUUAGCUAGUUGGUAAGGUAACGGCUUACCAAGGCAACGAUGCAUAGCCGACCUGAGAGGGUGAUCGGCCACACUGGAACUGAGACACGGUCCAGACUCCUACGGGAGGCAGCAGUAGGGAAUCUUCCGCAAUGGGCGAAAGCCUGACGGAGCAACGCCGCGUGAGUGAUAAAGGUCUUCGGAUCGUAAAACUCUGUUAUUAGGGAAGAACAUAUGUGUAAGUAACUGUGCACAUCUUGACGGUACCUAAUCAGAAAGCCACGGCUAACUACGUG